Molecule: ribosomal RNA, 220 nt
Filed under: uncultured Glomus
Lineage: Eukaryota; Fungi; Glomeromycota; Glomeromycetes; Glomerales; Glomeraceae
Description: partial small subunit ribosomal RNA
Rfam family: Eukaryotic small subunit ribosomal RNA
Source: RNAcentral
CCAAUAGCGUAUAUUAAAGUUGUUGCAGUUAAAAAGCUCGUAGUUGAAUUUCGGGAUCAAAGGAUCGGUCAUGCCUUGGUAUGUACUGGUUUUAUUGGUUCUCACCUUCUAAAGAACCAUGAUGUCAUUCAUUUGAUGUUAUGGGGAAUUAGGACUGUUACCUUGAAAAAAUUAGAGUGUUUAAAGCAAGCUUACGCUUGAAUACAUUAGCAUGGAAUAA